Molecule: long non-coding RNA, 1547 nt
Filed under: Mus musculus (house mouse)
Lineage: Eukaryota; Metazoa; Chordata; Mammalia; Rodentia; Muridae
Description: predicted gene 12610
Source: RNAcentral
AUUUUCUUCCCAGCCACCUUCAUGAGCAGCCAGAAAAGCAUGGAACUCCUUGAGUUGCAUGUUACUUCAGAAUCACCUCCAGAUACUCACACUGAAAUUAGAAGCUGGAGAAGGCGGCUAAUGUCUUGUCUCAGUUUAUAGUUUAUAGUUUAUAUUUCCCUUGAUAUACAUUUAUAUUUCCUGGACCCACCUGCCCUUUGUAGUAAUCUUGUCUUAAUGCUUAUGAUGAAACGUAAGAAAAAAUGACUUUGGAUUUCUUCUAAAGCAAUCGCUUUCUUUCCCCCACCCCCUCAUCUCUCUCUUUCUCUCUCUCUCUCUCUGUCUUUCUUUCUUUCUUUCUUUCUUUCUUUCUUUCUUUCUUUCUUUCUUUCUUUCUUUCUUUCUUUCUUUCUUCUCUCUUUCACACACACACAUGCAGAAAUACACACACACACACACGCAGAAAUACACACACACACACACAUACACACACACACACACACACACAGAGAGAGAGAGAGAGAGAGAGAGAGAGAGAGAGAGAGAGAGAGAGAGAGAGAGAGAGAGAGGACUGUAUUCUUAAGUAGAUAGUGUACAAAUUAAGUUAUCACAGAAAAAGAAAGAGGAGCUACCAAGAAAGAUGAACUGAAGACUGCGACAGAGCUCUUCUCUCUGCCCACAGGAAACAGGGAUUCUCUGUAUAGCCCUGCUGUCCUGGAACUCAUGCUGCAGAUGAGGCUGACCCUUGAAGUGAGAGAGCUGCUUGCCCCUGCCUUCUUACUGCUGAGAUUAAAGCUAAAAAUUGAGGAUGAAAGUCUAGGUGACUUUCUGGUGGCUGUGCAGAUGAGAAGUCGGACAGUGGCACUGCAGUUUGCUCUGAUUGACUCUGGAGCCUGUGUUUGAAGCUACAGCAAUACAACAGUCUGCUCCAGCGCUGAGCUUGUAGGAAGGCGACCACUCCAGGCCGACUCAAUGGCUUUAGCCUCCAGAGUUAUCGUCGUUUGGCAGGAAGUCUUAAAGAACCCCACAGCGUGCCCUUCCGCCCCUGGCACAUCAUAAGCUAUUUUGGGAUGAGUCAUCGGAAUUCUGUGGUUUGCAUAUCCUGAAGGGGAAGAGAAGACACUGUAUGGCUAACAUUUAUUUGAAAUAGCAAGUUGGAAAGAAAAAUUCUUCGAUAAAAGUUCAGCAUUAGGUAAGAAACACCAGAGGCUCUCUCCGUUCUUUUAUGAAGAUUUUGUCUGUAUGUACGUCUCUGACAAUACCAUACAGAAGUAACUCUUCUGCCUGUGCACAGUCCCAGCUUUAUGUACUGCCCACUGAAAUCUGAGCAGGUGUUUAGUAGCAGUAAUUCACAAGCAAUAAGCAAAUGGCUGUUUUUUCAUUGGAGUUUGUGCUAUAGAUGAAGAUCCAGGUCAUUUCUCUGAGACUGCUGGAUAACACCACCAACACUGUCAUUGUACAAUAUGAUGAAGUCCACUCUGUCAUCUGUAACAACAAAAAGUACUGGCCAAGGAAUACAGGGAUUUUUUCUUUAGCGUCAAAGUAGAUGAUGAAGAUGGUUUGUAAUU